CGCGAAGAACCUUACCAAGGCUUGACAUAUACAGGAAUAUGGCAGAGAUGUCAUAGCGGUAAAACGUCUGUAUACAGGUGGUGCAUGGUUGUCGUCAGCUCGUGUCGUGAGAUGUUGGGUUAAGUCCCGCAACGAGCGCAACCCUCGUUCUGUGUUGCCAGCAUUUAGUUGGGGACUCACAGGAGACUGCCGGGGUUAACUCGGAGGAAGGUGGGGAUGACGUCAAAUCAUCAUGCCCCUUAUGUCUUGGGCUGCACGCAUGCUACAAUGGCUGGUACAAAGGGCUGCAAUACUGCAAAGUGGAGCGAAUCCCAAAAAGCCAGUCUCAGUUCGGAUUGAGGUCUGCAACUCGACCCCAUGAAGUCGGAGUUGCUAGUAAUCGUAGAUCAGCAACGCUACGGUGAAUACGUUCCCGGGGCUUGUACACACCGCCCGUCACGUCACGAAAGUCGGUAACACC
RNAcentral lists this ribosomal RNA (460 nucleotides) under uncultured Actinomycetes bacterium. Its description in RNAcentral is "bacterial SSU rRNA". It matches the Rfam family "Bacterial small subunit ribosomal RNA", at positions 960 to 1421 of the family's 1533-position model. The record is from RNAcentral. Lineage: Bacteria; Bacillati; Actinomycetota; Actinomycetes.